Molecule: ribosomal RNA, 301 nt
Filed under: uncultured bacterium
Lineage: Bacteria
Description: partial 16S ribosomal RNA
Rfam family: Bacterial small subunit ribosomal RNA
Source: RNAcentral
CAGCCGCCGCGGGAAAACGGAGGGGGCUAGCGUUGUUCGGAAUUACUGGGCGUAAAGCGCACGUAGGCGGCUUGGUAAGUUAGAGGUGAAAGCCUGGAGCUCAACUCCAGAAUUGCCUUUAAGACUGCCGAGCUAGCAGGUGAGAGAGGUAAGUGGAAUUCCGAGUGUAGAGGUGAAAUUCGUAGAUAUUCGGAAGAACACCAGUGGCGAAGGCGGCUUACUGGCUCAUACUGGACGCUGAGGUGCGAAAGCGUGGGGAGCAAACAGGAUUAGAUACCCCAGUAGUCCCUGUCUCUUAUAC